UACGUAGGGGGCAAGCGUUGUCCGGAAUUAUUGGGCGUAAAGGGCGCGCAGGCGGUCUGUUAAGUCUGAUGUGAAAGGCCACGGCUCAACCGUGGGAUGGCAUUGGAAACUGGUAGACUUGAGUGCAGGAGAGGAGAGCGGAAUUCCCGGUGUAGCGGUGAAAUGCGUAGAGAUCGGGAGGAACACCAGUGGCGAAGGCGGCGUCCUGGCUCGCAUCUGACGCUCAGACACGACAGCAUGGGGAGCGAACGGG
This 253-nucleotide ribosomal RNA is filed under the name uncultured prokaryote. RNAcentral's name for it is "partial 16S ribosomal RNA". It matches the Rfam family "Bacterial small subunit ribosomal RNA", at positions 524 to 776 of the family's 1533-position model. The record is from RNAcentral.